This 413-nucleotide ribosomal RNA is filed under the name uncultured bacterium. RNAcentral describes it as "bacterial SSU rRNA". It matches the Rfam family "Bacterial small subunit ribosomal RNA", at positions 9 to 433 of the family's 1533-position model. The record is from RNAcentral.
GAGUUUGUAUCGUGGCUCAGAAUCAACGCUGGCGGCGUGCCUAACACAUGCAAGUCGAACGAGAAAGGGAUUUCGGUCCUGAGUAUAGUGGCGCACGGGGUGAGUAACACGUGAAUGAUCUACCUCCGAGUGGGGAAUAACCAAGAGAAAUCUUGGCUAAUACCGCAUAACACUUACGAGUCAAAGCAGCAAUGCGCUUGGAGAGGAGUUCGCGGCAGAUUAGUUAGUUGGCGGGGUAAUGGCCCACCAAGACGAUGAUCUGUAUCCGGCCUGAGAGGGCGCACGGACACACUGGAACUGAAACACGGUCCAGACUCCUACGGGAGGCAGCAGUGGGGAAUUUUGCGCAAUGGGGGAAACCCUGACGCAGCAACGCCGCGUGGAGGAUGAAGUAUCUUGGUACCGUAAACUCC